Molecule: unclassified non-coding RNA, 183 nt
Filed under: uncultured Russula
Lineage: Eukaryota; Fungi; Basidiomycota; Agaricomycetes; Russulales; Russulaceae
Description: sequence contains ITS1
Source: RNAcentral
UCGUACAACUGAGGUGCGAGGGCUGUCGCUGACUUUUCGUCGUGCACGCCCGAGCGCUCUCAUACAUCCACCUCACCCCUAUGUGCACCACCGCGUGGGUCCCCUUUCGGGGGGGCUCGCGUUUUCACACACAAACUCGAUACAGUGUAGAAUGUCCUUCUUUGCGAUCACACGCAAUUAAUA